Molecule: ribosomal RNA, 307 nt
Filed under: uncultured bacterium
Lineage: Bacteria
Description: bacterial SSU rRNA
Rfam family: Bacterial small subunit ribosomal RNA
Source: RNAcentral
GAUGAACGCUGGCGGCGUGCUUAACACAUGCAAGUCGAGCGAGGGAGCACCUUCGGGUGUGGACUAGCGGCGGACGGGUGAGUAACACGUGGGCAACCUGCCUUACAGAGGGGGAUAGCCUUCCGAAAGGAAGAUUAAUACCGCAUAACGUUGAAAGAUGGCAUCAUCAUUUAACCAAAGGAGCAAUCCGCUAUGAGAUGGACCCGCGGCGCAUUAGCUAGUUGGUGGGGUAACGGCCUACCAAGGCGACGAUGCGUAGCCGACCUGAGAGGGUGAUCGGCCACAUUGGGACUGAGACACGGCCCAG